GGUUAAGUCCCGUAACGAGCGCAACCCUUAUCCUUAGUUGCCAGCGGGUCAUGCCGGGAACUCUAGGGAGACUGCCGGUGAUAAACCGGAGGAAGGUGGGGACGACGUCAAGUCAUCAUGGCCCUUAUGGGUAGGGCUACACACGUGCUACAAUGGUCGGUACAGAGGGUUGCGAGCUCGCGAGAGUCAGCCAAUCCCAAAAAGCCGAUCCUAGUCCGGAUUGCAGUCUGCAACUCGACUGCAUGAAGUCGGAAUCGCUAGUAAUCGCGGAUCAGAAUGCCGCGGUGAAUACGUUCCCGGGCCUUGUACACACCGCCCGUCACACCAUGGGAGUGGGUUGCAAAAGAAGUAGGUAGUUUAACCUUCGGGAGGGCGCUUACCACUUUGUGAUUCAUGACUGGGGUGAAGUCGUAACAAGGUAGCCGUAGAA
Molecule: ribosomal RNA, 430 nt
Filed under: uncultured Methylomonas sp.
Lineage: Bacteria; Pseudomonadati; Pseudomonadota; Gammaproteobacteria; Methylococcales; Methylococcaceae
Description: bacterial SSU rRNA
Rfam family: Bacterial small subunit ribosomal RNA
Source: RNAcentral